Molecule: ribosomal RNA, 253 nt
Filed under: uncultured bacterium
Lineage: Bacteria
Description: partial 16S ribosomal RNA
Rfam family: Bacterial small subunit ribosomal RNA
Source: RNAcentral
UACAGAGGUCUCAAGCGUUGUUCGGAUUCAUUGGGCGUAAAGGGUGCGUAGGUGGCGCUGUAAGUCGGGUGUGAAAUUUCGGAGCUUAACUCCGAAACUGCAUUCGAUACUGCGGUGCUUGAGGACUGGAGAGGAGACUGGAAUUCAUGGUGUAGCAGUGAAAUGCGUAGAGAUUAUGAGGAAGACCAGUGGCGAAGGCGGGUCUCUGGACAGUUCCUGACACUGAGGCACGAAGGCCAGGGGAGCAAACGGG